GAUGAACGCUGGCGGCGUGCCUAAUACAUGCAAGUCGAGCGAACGGACGAGAAGCUUUCUUCUCUGAUGUUAGCGGCGGACGGGUGAGUAACACGUGGAUAACCUACCUAUAAGACUGGGAUAACUUCGGGAAACCGGAGCUAAUACCGGAUAAUAUUUUGAACCGCAUGGUUCAAAAGUGAAAGACGGUCUUGCUGUCACUUAUAGAUGGAUCCACGCUGCAUUAGCUAGUUGGUAAGGUAACGGCUUACCAAGGCAACGAUGCAUAGCUGACCUGAGAGGGUGAUCGGCCACACUGGAACUGAGACACGGUCCAGACUCCUACGGGAGGCAGCAGUAGGGAAUCUUCCGCAAUGGGCGAAAGCCUGACGGAGCAACGCCGCGUGAGUGAAGAAGGUCUUCGGAUUGUAAAACUCUGUUAGUAGGGAAGAACAGAAGUGUAAGUAACUGUGCAUAUCUUGACGGUACCUAAACAGAAAGCCACGGCUAACUACGUG
This 497-nucleotide ribosomal RNA is filed under the name uncultured bacterium. Its description in RNAcentral is "partial 16S ribosomal RNA". It matches the Rfam family "Bacterial small subunit ribosomal RNA", at positions 28 to 507 of the family's 1533-position model. The record is from RNAcentral.